CCUACGGGAGGCAGCAGUGAGGAAUAUUGGUCAAUGGGCGUAAGCCUGAACCAGCCAAGUCGCGUGAGGGAUGAAGGCUCUAUGGAUUGUAAACCUCUUUUAUAAGGGAAUAAAGUGCGGGACGUGUCCCGUUUUGUAUGUACCUUAUGAAUAAGGAUCGGCUAACUCCGUGCCAGCAGCCGCGGUAAUACGGAGGAUCCGAGCGUUAUCCGGAUGUAUUGGGUUUAAAGGGGGCGUAGGCGGCCUUUUAAGUCAGGGGUGAAAGUCUGUGGCUCAACCCUAGACUUGCCGUUGAAACUGGGAGGCUUGAGUUUGUUUGAGGCAGGCGGAAUGCGUGGUGUAGCGGU
RNAcentral lists this ribosomal RNA (347 nucleotides) under uncultured bacterium. Its description in RNAcentral is "partial 16S ribosomal RNA". It matches the Rfam family "Bacterial small subunit ribosomal RNA", at positions 338 to 682 of the family's 1533-position model. The record is from RNAcentral.